This 492-nucleotide ribosomal RNA is filed under the name uncultured bacterium. RNAcentral's name for it is "partial 16S ribosomal RNA". It matches the Rfam family "Bacterial small subunit ribosomal RNA", at positions 29 to 507 of the family's 1533-position model. The record is from RNAcentral.
AGUGAACGCUGGCGGUAGGCCUAACACAUGCAAGUCGAACGGCAGCACAGUAAGAGCUUGCUCUUACGGGUGGCGAGUGGCGGACGGGCGAGGAAUACAUCGGAAUCUACUUUUUCGUGGGGGAUAACGUAGGGAAACUUACGCUAAUACCGCAUACGACCUACGGGUGAAAGCAGGGGAUCUUCGGACCUUGCGCGAUUGAAUGAGCCGAUGUCGGAUUAGCUAGUUGGCGGGGUAAAGGCCCACCAAGGCGACGAUCCGUAGCUGGUCUGAGAGGAUGAUCAGCCACACUGGAACUGAGACACGGUCCAGACUCCUACGGGAGGCAGCAGUGGGGAAUAUUGGACAAUGGGCGAAAGCCUGAUCCAGCCAUACCGCGUGGGUGAAGAAGGCCUUCGGGUUGUAAAGCCCUUUUGUUGGGAAAGAAAAGCAGCAGGUUAAUACCCCGCUGUUCUGACGGUACCCAAAGAAUAAGCACCGGCUAACUUCGUG